Molecule: long non-coding RNA, 437 nt
Organism: Branchiostoma belcheri (Belcher's lancelet)
Lineage: Eukaryota; Metazoa; Chordata; Leptocardii; Amphioxiformes; Branchiostomatidae
Exons: 3
Source: RefSeq, a predicted model, not a curated record
UGGUGCUUUUGACCGACGGUCACUCGAAUGGAGAUGUAAUCCCUGGUCCUCAGGCAGCACUACUGAGGGCAACAGGAGUAGAGAUCUUCACCAUUGGCAUCGGAAGCUACGAUUACUCCGAACUACUGUCCAUUGCGUCACCUCCAUAUGCUGGUGUGCAUGUUUAUCCGUACAAUAACUUCAAUGACUUCAAUGGGCUUGCACUGGAAAUACGAGGAGAUGCCCACGAGACCCGCUAUCUUUACUUUAACCAACACUAUUGCCCGCAAACCUGUUCCUCCAACGCUGACUGCACAUGUGAAACACUGUCUGGCGCUUGGGGAUGUCAUUGCCGAGCAGGUUUCAGUGGACUAUCAGGACAGUGUACAGAGUGCCCCGUUGGUUUCUACAAGAGCGGACUCGGACCUGCUGACAGUUGUGACGAAUGUCCACAUAAC